AGAGCUGGUUGUUUAAAAGAAUCUGGGAUCCCUCCCUUCUCUCUCUUGCUCCUUCUCUCACCAUGUGAUAUGCUUGCUCCCUUUGGCCUUCUGCAGUGAUUGUAAGCUUCCUGAGGCUUUCACCAGAAACACACGCUGGCACCACGCUUCUUGUAUCGCCUGCAGAGCUGUGAGCCAAAAUAAACCUCUUCUUUAUAAAUUACCCAGCCUCAGGUAUUCCUUUACAGCAACAUAAAAUGGACUAAUAUGUCUGCUAAUUUUUAAAUGUUGGCAUAAUUUAUACGAACCAAACAAAGCAUUCUUUGGGCUGAUUUGGCACACAGGCUGAUAGUUUGCAAACUGUUCUGUACUACGGCUGCUGUCUGUAUUAUCAAGUCCAGAGGGUAAACUUCAGUGACAGGCUAUGGCCAGAAAGGGGCGACAGAGGGUCACAGAACCAAACCAGGCCUAUUAGAUUCAUACUCCCAGCUGCCACUGGGAAAACCUGUCCUGGGUAUGGGGCGCUCCCAAUUAAAUCAAGCCAAAUCAAUAAGUUGGAGGUUGCUGGAUACGAGGCAACAAGUAGAGAGAAAUUAGGGUGAGGGGGAGAUGCCAAGGAAACCAGGUUGUUUCAGAGGACACUGGUGAGCUAAGGGGCCCAAAGAAAACUGUUUUUUCAAAGACGAUCAGAUAUCAAAUAAUAUUCACAAAGGGAGAAAUGAUGAAGUUUCAGGAACAGCACUGAGAAUGAAUGAGCUCUUACAAUGUUUAUGCAAAAGUCAAAAUCUUCAAGCCACCUAUCUUGGCUUCUUAAAAUCACCAGAAUGGGCCCCAGAAAAAAAGGGCCUAAUAGAACAUGUGCCUCUGUGAAUAAUUUAACUAGUGUCACAGCAAGUACAUAUUUUGCUAGCUGAUAAAUUAAUAAAGGAACAAACAAGUUUUGUAGUUUAAGAGUUGGUAUAAAUUAUUGUGCAGAAAUGGCAACUGAAAUGUACAAGAGUCUUCUAUAGUAAUCCAUACUUACUUUACUGUUAUCCCUUAGAUGUUUAAACAUGAAGAUAAAAAUCAAAGCUCUCAGUUUUAUGUUAAUGUUUUUCAAUACUCUCACCUUUAGCUGCAGAAAUAUGGCAUACAUGAAAGAAAAAUGGGGCAAAACCUACUAUGCCACCUUCAGAACCAACCCAUUACAUGUGAAGAACAUUCUUUCAAUAACUUGAGAACCUUCUUGAACCCCAAGUUUCGCUGCCUUGACACUUUGAGAAGGCUGGAGAUGAUUGCUAGCCCAGAGAACAAUGCUCAAAAGUGACUAUAGACGUCCUGUGAGCCAACACAAUGUCUUCUUCAUUCCUAUGUUCCUCAGACACAGCACAGAGCCACACGAACGGAAGCAUAAAAACAACUUACAAUUCUCAAUUUAGAAGAUCUUACUUUAAUGGGAGCUCAUAUUUAUACUCCUCCCAAGACACACACACAAUAGUCUCUGUACAUACCGUUAAAUUUAGUCCUUUUUUCUUUUUCAAAAAGGAAGCAUCUGGAAUGCUUCAAUAACGAAAAAAGUACAUGAUAUGUUAAAUAUGCAGUGCCAAAGAAACACUCGGGAGAAAGUCCAGCAUGCAAUUGGAAAUUCAAGGCUGCUCAUCAGUGGAGUAGCAAGUCUGAAAACAUUUGUCAACUCUGCUUGAUCUUUCCACAUACCUCAUCGGUGAGUUCAGAAAAUUGAGACAAAAUAAUAGGUUGAAAUUUGAGGCAACUGUUCAGGACUCUUUACCUUUUCCUCCUCCUUGCUUGUUAACAGUCUGCUUUACUGUGAUCCCUGUGUCUAACAGAACUUAAAAUCUUAGUUUUGUGUUCUUGACCUGGAUUCUCUCUUUUGGCUCCUUGUUCAGCUCCUUUCUGGUAGCUGAACCUCACCUUUUCUCUUUUCCUAGGCUGGCCCCUUGGGCCCAGAUUUCAACUGAUACUUCUGGCAGAAAAUGCUUGUACCAGUCUACGCCUAACAAUAAAGAACCCAGUUCCCAACUUCGACAUUUGGCUGGUGCUCCGGUGACGCCUGUCCCAAAAGAGAAAAGCCAAAGAAGUAAAUCUGAGUUACCUGAACAGAAAUUAAAAUUUCCCACAUAAAUAAAUCUCAUGAUUUCCAAUUUUCUCUCUUGACUUUAAUUUCUGUGGCUCACUGGCAUUGAGUCUUUUUUUUUUUCUUUACUAUCUGCAUCCUGAGUAUUUCCCAUAUGAUUUGUAAAUGGCUCUAGUAACCUCUAAGUAAACAAAGUGUUCAUUCAUUCAGCCAUUCUUUCACUCAUUUAUUCACUCAUCAAAAAUUAUGAAGUGCCUUGUAUGUGCUAAACAUUGUGUUAGGUGCCAGAAGAUAUAUAGAUAAAUAGAAUAUAUCCUU
This 2371-nucleotide long non-coding RNA is filed under the name Homo sapiens (human). Its description in RNAcentral is "HSALNT0316029". Lineage: Eukaryota; Metazoa; Chordata; Mammalia; Primates; Hominidae. The record is from RNAcentral.